Molecule: ribosomal RNA, 333 nt
Filed under: uncultured bacterium
Lineage: Bacteria
Description: bacterial SSU rRNA
Rfam family: Bacterial small subunit ribosomal RNA
Source: RNAcentral
AACGAACGCUGGCGGCGUGGAUAAGACAUGCAAGUCGAGCGGAGUAUAUUGGGUAGCAAUACUUGGUAUAUUCAGCGGCGCAAGGGUGCGUAACACGUGGGUAAUUUGCCAUGAAGUUUGGAAUAACUUGCUGAAAGGCGAGCUAAUACCGGAUGUGAAAAUUGAUGGGCAUCUAUUGAUUUUCAAAGUUGGGACCGCAAGGCCUGACGCUUUAUGAUAAGCCCGCGGCCUAUCAGCUAGUUGGUGAGGUAACGGCUCACCAAGGCUAAGACGGGUAGCUGGUCUGAGAGGACGACCAGCCACACUGGAACUGAGACACGGUCCAGACACCUA